ACCAAAACAGAGUACACACAAUACUGACUUUGGAAUUCGCACUCAGAUACUGUAGUGGAUUGAUAACUGGUGGUCAACUUAUAUCCCCCAGCUGAACUGAGAAACCCUUCCAGAAUCUACUCAAGGAAAGUUUAAAAUCAGCUUUUCAAGAAUGGCUAUGCACAGAAGAGGAUAGCUUCCCAGGUAAUGACUUUUUAACUACAAAUGUUCAAAAUCCUCUUUACGGACUACAUCUCCCCUUGCAAAAGAAUCC
Molecule: long non-coding RNA, 253 nt
Filed under: Chinchilla lanigera (long-tailed chinchilla)
Lineage: Eukaryota; Metazoa; Chordata; Mammalia; Rodentia; Chinchillidae
Description: lncRNA (ENSCLAG00000023177.1)
Source: RNAcentral